This 311-nucleotide ribosomal RNA is filed under the name uncultured bacterium. RNAcentral describes it as "bacterial SSU rRNA". It matches the Rfam family "Bacterial small subunit ribosomal RNA", at positions 29 to 369 of the family's 1533-position model. The record is from RNAcentral.
AGCGAACGCUGGCGGCAGGCCUAAUACAUGCAAGUCGAACGGCUCUUCGGAGCAGUGGCGGACGGGUGAGUAACGCGUGGGAAUGUGCCCUUUGGUACGGAACAACACAGGGGAAACUUGUGCUAAAUACCGUAUGUGCCCUUCGGGGAAAGAUUAUCGCCAUUGGAGCAGCCCGCGUUGGAUUAGGUAGUUGGUGAGGUAAAGGCUCACCAAGCCUACGAUCCAUAGCUGGUCUGAGAGGAUGACCAGCCACACUGGGACUGAGACACGGCCCAGACUCCUACGGGAGGCAGCAGUAGGGAAUCUUGCGC